CCAGCCCGCUCAGAAACUUAAAGGAAGUUGACGGGGCCCGCACAAGCGGUGGAGCACGUGGUUUAAUUCGAUGAUACGCGAGGAACCUUACCUGGGCUCGAACGUAAGAUGACUGUAGGUGAAAGCUUACAUCUCUUCGGAGCAUUUUACGAGGUGCUGCAUGGUUGUCGUCAGCUCGUGCCGUGAGGUGUCGGUUAAGUCCCAUAACGAGCGCAACCCUACCUUUAGUUGCCAUCAGGUAAUGCUGGGGACUCUAAAGGAACUGCCUACGCAAGUAGUGAGGAAGGCGGGGAUGACGUCAAAUCAGCACGGCCCUUACGUCCAGGGCUACACACGUGCUACAAUGGCCGAUACAGAGGGCAGCUACCUGGUGACAGGAUGCAAAUCUCCAAAGUCGGUCUCAGUUCGGAUCGGAGUCUGCAACCUGACUCCGUGAAGUUGGAUUCGCUAGUAAUCGCGCAUCAGCCAUGGCGCGGUGAAUACGUUCCCGGGCCUU
This 496-nucleotide ribosomal RNA is filed under the name uncultured Sphingobacteriales bacterium. RNAcentral describes it as "bacterial SSU rRNA". It matches the Rfam family "Bacterial small subunit ribosomal RNA", at positions 903 to 1382 of the family's 1533-position model. The record is from RNAcentral. Lineage: Bacteria; Pseudomonadati; Bacteroidota; Sphingobacteriia; Sphingobacteriales.